CAUAGCAGCUGCUGUGCUGAACACCGCUCUUCCGGCACCGGUACAAGCUGCCGCACCAGUACAGGCCUCCUCGACGGCCCAACCCCGGCCACCAGCCCAGCCCCAGACGCUGUUCCAGACCCAGCCGCUGCUGCAGACCACACCUGCCAUCCUCCCGCAGCCCACUGCUGCCACCGCUGCUGCCCCUACCCCCAAGCCAGUGGACACCCCCCCACAGAUCACCGUCCAGCCUGCAGGCUUCGCAUUUAGCCCAGGAAUCGUUAUUGGAACCCUUCCAUGGGUAGUGAACUCAGCUAGUGUGGCGGCCCCAGCACCAGCCCAAAGCCUGCAGGUCCAGGCCGUGACCCCCCAGCUGUUGUUGAACGCCCAGGGCCAGGUGAUUGCGACCCUGGCUAGCAGCCCCCUGCCUCCACCUGUGGCUGUCCGGAAGCCAAGCACACCUGAGUCCCCUGCUAAGAGUGAGGUGCAGCCCAUCCAGCCCACACCAACCGUGCCCCAGCCUGCUGUGGUCAUUGCCAGCCCAGCUCCAGCCGCCAAGCCAUCUG
RNAcentral lists this long non-coding RNA (545 nucleotides) under Homo sapiens (human). RNAcentral describes it as "non-protein coding lnc-TFCP2-2:4". Lineage: Eukaryota; Metazoa; Chordata; Mammalia; Primates; Hominidae. The record is from RNAcentral.